This 71-nucleotide non-coding RNA is filed under the name Schistosoma mansoni. The record is from RNAcentral. Lineage: Eukaryota; Metazoa; Platyhelminthes; Trematoda; Strigeidida; Schistosomatidae.
UAUGUAACUCCGCCUGUAGCUACUCCGGGGGCUACUGCCGGUCCCAAGCCCGGGUAAAGGGGGAGGGUUGG